RNA transcript from Amphiprion ocellaris (clown anemonefish), 11110 nucleotides. It is a transcript of the gene named WD repeat-containing protein 88-like, with no coding region annotated. The transcript has 10 exons. NCBI's taxonomy places the organism in Eukaryota, Metazoa, Chordata, Actinopteri, Pomacentridae. The record is from RefSeq and is a predicted model, not a curated record.
UGUGCCUGUAAAUGAAGACAACAGGAGGGUUAAAUGACUGAAUAUUUGGAAGCAUAUGAUCAGGAGGGAACAAUCUGCUCAGUGAAAGUGGAUGAAAUAUUCAUAUUUGCUUUUCUUGCUAAUCAUUGACAUAGAAACUGGCAUUUAAAGGCUUAGUGUCCUGACCAGCAAUUAAUAUUUGGUGGUUAUGAUCUGGACUAAUGAUGGUUAAAAAUGUACUCCGUGAAAAUAUAAAUUAGUUUUAAUGUUUAAUAGUUUUAUGGUAGUUUCUGAUGUUGGCAUUUUAGCCUUUCAGGUCCUGAACUAGACUCCUGUUGGGUCGGUGUUGAGUAGAUUUGACUCUUUAGCUGCUGUUUGGAAAAUGAAGAUGCCUGAGACAAAAGGGAGGAUACAGGGAAGACAGAGGACAGAAGGAAGGAAAUGAAGGAUUGGUGGAGGACUGAUAUUUAGUGAAAUUAAUUUAAAGUAGUUGUUUUUAUCAACGGAGGCUCCGUUUCCCCCUGAAUCCUUCACUAAGCAGUAACAAGCCGUUUGUCCCACCGCUCCUGAAGGCAGCGUCGCAGGGUGCUGUUGCCAUGGUAACUGCCGCCGCUAACAACUAGUUGAAGCGUCUUUAAGUUAACAAAUUUUUGUUUGUUUGUUUGUUUUACCGCAGGUUUGGAUUAAUGUCGUCCAAAAAGCUGGACCCUCUGUCGGUGCGCGAGCCUUCAGGAGGCGGCGAGGAGCAGAGCGGAGGGUGGAGCCCCGAGCCCCAGGUUCCAGUGAAGGUGUUUCCAGCUCACAGUGACGCAGUGACAGCAGCUCGAUUCUGCUGCAGCGACAGAUUUAUCCUGAGCUGCUCCUCAGACUGCAGCGCCAUCCUCUGGGACGUGGACAGCUGUCUUCCUCUGAGGACGUUUGAUGGAGUUCACAGUAAAACCAUCAGUGAGGUCGCUGUGAUCCCCAACAGCAACAGCUGACCUGCUGGUGUCGGGCUCCUACGACAGGACCGUUGCACUCUGGGAUACGUCCUCCCACUGCCAGACUCUCAUCCUCAAGGGCCAUAGUGAUUGGGUGACGGACGUGUCAAUCAGCGCUGACAGGAAGUUGGUGGCGUCUUCCUCCAAGAGAUUAUCAUGCUGAAGCUUGGCGUCCUUUGGGGAAAGUCAGAAUUCCGCCGGCAACCGGUAACUGGAGACAACUUGUCCAGAUUGCGUGGAGAGGCCUACACCAUGGAACCAGACUGUCGCUGACUUGCCACCAACAUACUGCUCUGGAGGAUUGCAGAUAUGGGGAAGUCGUAGGGCCAGCUCUCCCAGCGCACAGAAAACGCAACCAUAUUACUGGCUGGAAUGCAGAUGGGCUGAUGGGGCGGGGAGGUCAGGUGAAUGCACAGAACAAUACACUUUCUCCAUAUAUUCUAUACAAUACACUUUGGCUGUCGCCACAUGGUUCAGUGCCACUAAAUCUAGCCUUCUGUCAGUUCUACCUGCUCUGUUUUCCUCACAGGUUUUUCUUUGUUGCUCAGAUUACUAAUAUUAGCCUCAGCAAAAUGUUAACAAACAUAAAGCAGUUAGCUAGCCAGCUAGCAAUAAGCAUAUUCAGUCCCUCAGUCACUCUGUCUGCUCCAUUUCACAGUUACAUGCAAUACAAGCUUUUUACAUCACACUUUGUUUUACACUAAUGUUAAUUUGAGCUUACAUUUCUGACAUUCAUCAGUUUUAGGUAAUUUUAUCCAGGUUCUUUAGGGAUUUUGACUUACUAUAGCCCCAGGUGAGACCUCCAACACUUCAGACACCAAAUACUCAAAACAAGCUGUUUUACCUUAAUCUAGGUGGCACCAAUUGUCAUUUUUUGAACAUAUUUAGAUCAUUUUAUUCUUUUUCCAAAAACAGUUAAUUACAUGUAAUGUUUUUCUGACAUUUUACCAUAUAUUGGGGGCAAUUUAUUCAUAUUUUUGUGGUGAUAAACAGAUUGUUGUUUUUUUAGGAGGUUUUAUUACUUAGUCUAUUAUCCAGAUUUGUUUUUUUCAGACUUAGGAUAUUUUGCUGAUAUUCUUAUAUUUUAAAUUCUUUCAAAAUGUAUUUAUAUUUUUCAGGCACUCUAAUAUGUAUCUCAGCUGCUUGUCAGUUUAAAUGUGUUCACAAUUAAACACAAGUUUUUUUUUCUGGUCUAUGAAGGAAAGCAUUGACAUCAAUGAUCAGUCCCAGAUUUAAUGUCAAACACACUUUUAUUCCAUACAUUACAGCUGAAAGAGUUCACACGUCAGAAACAUCCAGUCCAGUGAUCACAUCUGAAAGGCCUCCAGCUGUUUAUCACCACUCACUUCUGAGCACCAAUCCUCUGAUCGGCCCAAAACCCCGUUUCUAAGGCAGUGAGCUGCUGCAGGAAACAAGCUGAGGUGACAGUAGAUUCCUGGUCUGCAGAGGAAAGCGUUGGACGGACUGAAGUCCAGCAGAGCAGCGGUUUGGUUUGAGGCUUCCAGCUGACGGAGGACCAGUCCCAGCAGCAGCAGGUCCAUCAGAAGGUGCUCUGCAGCAGACAGUGGCAGCCGCAACCCGCCGGACACUCGUCCUGCCGCCGAAACCAGUCCAUCAUGUGGCUGGUGUGUCCGCCGUGACCACAGCUCAGGCAGAAGUUGGAGGAUCCUCGGACGGCCACGUGGCAGAUGGCGCACUGGAAGAGUUUGAACAUGGGUGAAUGAUCGUACCGAUGCCUUUGUGAGGUUCAGGAGGGCAGGAGGCGAACUUCAGCACGUCGGCCCUUUUGUCUCUGAGCCCCCAUCGGUACAAGAUUUCACCGUAACACUUCUUAAAGUCAUCGAACUGCAGCGUGUUGGCCGGAUCCAGCAGCCUGCACAGGGACGACAUGACAUCAGAGCGACAUCACAACACUGACUCGUCUGUCUGAGCAGGGGGAGGAGCUACAUCACCUCUUGUUCAUGUCGUGCUGCUCUCGCUCACGUUCCCGUGGAUCUGUGUAUCCCUGGGUACCAUAGCGAUAGUCAUCGGGAGAGGAUUCCCCCCAGGGGUUUCCAUGUUCAGAGUCUCUACCUGAAAACAGCAAGAGAUCACCUGAGUGGGCGGAGACAGAAACCUGGACAUCCACGGUAUCGGCCUGCAGGCGGCGCUGUGGAUCCUCACCUGUGUUCCAGGUGGUGGUGGUGAUGGAGUCCGAGGUGCUGGAGCAGGAACCUGAGGUGAUGGAGCUGGAGGUGUAGCUGGGCUGAGAAGACAGGUGAGAACAAGGCUGACUGUAGCUGCAUCCUCACACACCUGGUAAACCUGACUUUAACCUGGUUUAAUCCCAGUUUAACUCAGGAUUAACUUUAACCUGCUUUAGACCCAGUUUAACUCAGGUUUCACUUUAGCUGAGAUCUAAUUUAAACAUGUAAAUUUUUCCUAUUCAUUUUGAAAACCUACAGUUUUUCAUCAUGUCGAUGUUUGAUUUUCUUUAAACCAGUUUAGCUCCAGUUCAGCUGAUCUGGUUUGUCAGGUUUCAUUAAAAAUGCAGCAGCAUUUUCACUUCCUGUUCCUAUUUUUGUGGAUUGUGUCUCCAUCUGAGUUUAACAGGAACUCAGACAGACUUGCAGCUGUAGGAAUGGUAACAGUUUCCCUCUGCUGCCAGUGUUUGCGAUAAGCUAGGCUAACAGUUUCCCUCCACUGCCUGUGUUUGUGCUAAGCUAGGCUAACAGUUUCCCUCCGCUGCCAGUGUUUGUGCUAAGCUAGGCUAACAGUUUCCCUCUGCUGCCAGUGUUUGUGCUAGGCUAGGCUAACAGUUUCCCUCUGCUGCCAGUGUUUGUGCUAAGCUAGGCUAAUCCUGCAGCGGCUCUAAUGUGACUGUAGCUGACUUACGUAUCGAGAGUGGUGUGGAGGGAACACAGAGGAGCGUGAUUGGUGGUGUCCGUACAGGGAGUAUCCGUCAGGGGGCGGAGCCUGAGCUCUGAACACGCUGCACAACAUAGCAAGCGUCUGGACAUCGCUCAUGUGACUGUAAUGAUCCAAUCUGAGGAGUGGACACAGAACCAGAGCUUUAGAACCGUUUCUUCCUCUUUACAGUUUAAAAGUGAAACGGUCGCUCUGCUGUAAAGUGACGUUUUCUGAUUUAAACACAGACAGGAAGUGACAGUAAAAUCUUCUGAUUGGUGCAGGAAGGACAGCUAAUUGUGAAGCUACAACAGGAAGUUUCAAACCCAAUCAGCUGUUUCUAAUAAACUAAACAAAGAGCUCACAGAGUCUCCAGCAGGUGGCGUCCAAACGGGUGUCUGGCCCACGGAGUCUCGGUGUCCGGAUCCGGAUCUGGACUCAGGUCCUGCCUGGUGGCUGCAGACGCCAGAGCCCAGACCUGCAGACAGAGGAGGUAGAAACAGGAACUCAGUUCUAUCCUGGAUCUAGAAGUCCUGGAGGUUGUGGCUGAACAUUAAUAAUAAUUCAUUUAAUAACACGAAUUAAAGUGUAAAUUGUAAAGUCUUUACGGUCUUUAUUGUCUCUUAGUGUUUGUUUUAGAUCAGAGGUAUCAGAAUCAUCCUAGUCCAGGUUCCACAUCCAGUCCAGUCUGACCCCAGCCAGUAGAACCAGUAAACCCAGUAAAACCACAGCAUAAUAACCUAUAAAUAACCACAACUCCUCAUGGUUCCUUUGGUUUAGUGCAAAAAUGUUCAUAUUUCAGGAAUUAUCUUUUUACUCAACAUCAUGAAUAACCUGAAAUUUAUGAAGAAAAAUAAAUUCAGUUUCAUCAACAUUCAGCCUCAGUUUACCAUUUCCUCAUUACAACUUCCAGAUCACAGAGUGUCGACAAAGGAACACAACAUUUAGUCAUCUGGAACUGAACCAUAGAGGAUUUACUGGAGGAUCAAAAAAAAGACAAAAAACAACAAAAACAAGACAAAAUAUUUUAAAAAUGAGACAUGACAUGAAACAAAACAAAAAAGAGACAAAAAAAUGAAACAACAAACUUACAAAGAGACAAAAAUGAGACAAAAAUUUACAAAAGCGAGAAAAAAAUAGACUAAACACAAGCAAGACAAAAAAACGGAAAAUGACAAAAAUGAGAAAUAAAACGACAAAAGUCAGACCAAAAAAGACAAGAUGAAAUAUUACAAAAAUGAGACACAAAAUGACAAAAACGAGAAAACAACAAAAAAUGAGACAAAUGACACGAAACGAAACAAAAAAUUACACGAAAAAGUUACAAAGUGACAAAAAAUGGACAAAUGACACAAGCGAGACAAAGAAAACCCCACAAAACGACAAAACGUGACACAACAACGAAUGAAGCAAACACAAAAUGACAAAAAUAAGACUAAAAACAUAAACAAGACAAAAAGGAAAUACAAAACGACAAAAGCAUGAGAUAAACGACAAGUCAGACAAUAAAAGACUACAAACAACAAAAAAACAAGACAAAAUAGUACAAAAAUGAAAACCAAAACGACACGCUACACAACAAAACAAAAAAGAGACAAAAAUUUGACAAAAAUACUACAAAGUGACAAAAAAAUUACACAAAUGACACAAACGAGACAAAAUAUUACAAAAAUGAGAAACAAAAGAACAAUGAACAAUCUAGUAUUUUACUUUAUGAUCAAAACAACUUGUCAUAGUCUAAAAAUUAUUUAAAUUUAUAGUUUUACUAAUUUACAAUCUGCACUUAAUGUCUUCUCUGGAAUUUUUACACUUUGAGGGCCGGAUUGGACCCUCUGGAGGACCGCUUUUAGCCCGCGGGCCGCAUGUUGGACACCCCUGGUCUAGAGUCUUUGUUGUGAUUUUUUUCUCUUUUUGCUGUUUGUUGUUUUAGUCUUCUGUAAUGAACCUGUAGUUUAAACGUUGCUCUUUAUGAACGUUAUGAUAGAAAACAGAACAACUCAUAACCUAACCCUGUCACUAAAUAACAGAAACCUUUCUGUUGCUUUAUUCUGGGUUUAAACACCAACAAACAGAUCAAUCUCCGUCUUUAGAACACUUUAAUAAAACAUAAGUAGUUUAACUGGUGACUAGCAGCGGUUUCAUCCUGAUCUUUACUGGAAAGUUCUGCUGAAACGUGAUGAUUGUUCCUCCGCCCUGCAUCGUUGUUCACCAGAUAGAAUCAUUAAAGACGGAUUUUUAUAAAACGCUGCUGAACUCACCUUCGCCACGUCUCGCCGUCCGACCGUUAGCGCCACCGCUGCGUUCUUCUGACAUGUUUCCUGGAUGUCGUUCAUGUUCAGGCUGAGCAGCACAACAGACACAACAAACACACAACUGUCAACACCACACAAACACAACGUUCUACAUUAUACUAGUAUUCUAGUCUGAUAAAAACCAGACUGAACACGUCUACUGGAGGCUCACUGACGUCUAUUCUGGUCUAUUCAACCUUUAAAGAGCACAAAUGUUCAGUCGGACAACUCUUACAUUUGAUUUUUAAUCUAAAUAUUCGUCUCUUUCCUGGCUGAGCUCUGAGGAACAUUUUGCCCAGAAUUUUGUCUGCAGGUUAUUGAGGAGUAUUUAUGUCCUGAGUUUUACCUGUCAGGCUGCACAGAUUAAUUUGAGCUCCAUGAAUUAAACGUUUGAGUUUUCAGGCUGGUUGAAGGUUAAAAUGGACUCCUGACAUUUGGGAGUCUGGAACAUUUACCCUAACCCUCGUCACGACACACUAAAAUGUAAUGAGAGCCAUACCUAAAACACAACAGGAAGUCGGCCAUUUUGAAUUAUAAGUCUUAUUUUGGACCAUUUUGGACCAAUUUUUGCACAUUUUCAAAAGCUGUAAACUCAAACAGGGCAACCCCAACAGAGCUGAAAUUUGGCCAGGAUGUACAGCAGGCAUGGUUAUCAAAAUCCUCCGCAAAAAUCUGAGGGUGAGGAAAUGGCGGCUGGCGGAAUGUCGACAUUUCACCAUGAAACAGGAAGUGAUGUCUAACUCUGCUGAACAUGCUCCAAUUAGCCUCAGACUUUACAUGUAUGAUCAGAGUGCAACCCUCAUCACAACCAUAGGCCCAAAUACACUCUCAGUCGCAGCGCCACCUGGUGGAUAUGCUUGGACUUGCUGACCAGCGAGAAUGUGAGGAUCUGUUCAAUGCUGCUUGCAGCUUUAAUUGUUUUAAUUCUUGUCACAGCAUCUUUGAUUUUUCAGUUUUAAACUAUUUUUGGAGAAAUGUGACGAUAACUGUCAACAGGGUCGCUGUAGUUUGAAGUAAAGGGUCAUUUCAGCCAAAAUAUAAAAGCAAGCUGUCUUUUAUUUACGUAUUAAUGAAGGACUUGUAGAUCUAAACUCAGAAUACCUUGGAUAGUCUGAACAAUACAGUCAUUGUGUUUUCAUUACUACUGACUUCUGAACCUGAUUCAAGAUAUUCUUCGGCUGUAUUCUUCCCAACCCAGCGCAUCACUUCCUGUCUUUUCUUUCUUUUGACAGAAAGUAGUUCCAGUGACAUGACAGUUUAAGCAUCAUCCAGAAUAACAGCAUUUAUAGAAACAAACUAAAUGUAUUCAUGGAGGCAGAAAUCUCUGAUUUGUCACACAAAGCCAAAACCAGUGUUUUUUUUUGGACGCUCUGAGUAAACCGAAGCGUCAGUUUUUGUUAAAAGUCAUGAUUUCUGCUGGAAAAUACUUUCAUUAUUGAUUAAUCUGAUGAGUAUUUUCUCAUUUGGUCAAUAAAAUAUCAGAAAACUCUGUUCUGACCAAAUAGGAGGUGUAAUUUGUCUUUUUUAUUGCAGAAUAUUAACGUUCAUUCCAGAGCUGGAGGACAUUUUACAUCCAAUAAUCCAUGUAGAAAAUCCUAAAACAUGCAGUUGUUGUGUAAAUGUUCUCGUCCUGAGACCAAAUCUAAAAGAUUUGUGAUUUUGUGUCUCCUUUCUGUUGUUUUCUUGUUUUUUGUUAUUUUGUGUCUCAUUUUUGUCUUUUGUGUCUCGUUUUUCUCGUUUUGUGUCUCGAUUUUGUCAUUUGUGUCUUGUUUUUGUCGCUUGGUGUCUAGCUUUUGCCAUUUUGUGUCUUGUUUUUGUUGCUUGGUAUCUAGCUUUUGCCAUUUUGUGUCUUGUUUUUGGCUUUUGUGUCUCAUUUUUGUCUUUUGUGUCUUGUUUUUGUCAUUUUGUGUCUCAUUUUUGUUUUUUGUGUCUCAUUUUUCUCGUUUUGUGUCUCGUUUUUGUCAUUUGUGUCUUGUUUUUGUUGCUUGGUGCCUAGCUUUUGCCAUUUUGUGUCUUGUUUUUGUCAUUUUAUGUCUUGUUUCAGUCAGUUUGUCCACUCGGUCAGCAGUAACAGCUAGCUACAUAUCUAGCUUCUACUGCUGAGAAAAAGAUCACAUUAGCAUGGAUGAGAGUAGGGUUAGCAAACAACACAGAAAACAUGGAAUAAAAAUGCUCCCAUUGAUGUGGAAGCUGAGCCGAUCAACAUCUAUUAUUGAUCAAUAUGGAGCAGAAAAUUGGAGAAGAGAAGGUUGAUUUUUCAAAUAUUUAGAAACCCAAACAUCCACCAGUUCUGGAAUGAUCUUUAAACUGAGAAUAUUAGGAGUCCGUGGAUGGAUGAAUGUUUGAGACAGUAGCAUAUUAAAACAGAUGAGAUGUGUUUGGUUCUCACAUGUAGCUUUCUCCCAGAGAUUUGUGGACGGGCAGCAGGCAGGAGAUCUCCUGGAUGAUCACUUUACCGGCCAGUUUGAUGGGACGGUUGCCGUAGUCGGUUCCUUCUCGCUUCGUCUUAAAGCGACGGGAUUUCUGGCAGACAGACAGACGGACAGGAGGAAGGAGACGGCAGCCAACAGGAGACAAAGCAGCACCUGAUUAAAAGUGGUCUGAUGGCAGAUUACUGGAAGAGAAGGUUCACACUUAGAGACGCCAACUGAUGGCAGGAACCAGAGAGUUUCAGAGCCGUGGUGCGUUCAGGUACCUUCUGGAUCUUGGUCUUCAUGGCGGAGGGGAUGGUUGUCGGCGAGACGAACUGGAAGCUGGGAGCGGCAUUGUUCGGAUACUGAGCCGGAAACUUGACCACCAGAUGAACCUGAUGGCUGCCGAAGUGAGCCGAGACCACGCAGCUCCGGUUCACGGCGUCCAUCUGGACCAACAGACCGGAUCAGGACGGGUUGACCAAUGAGAACUCCUGCUGCAGCGUCUGAGCCAGACCAGAAUCCUGACGAGAUCCGUCCUGGUCUGAGGGAACCAGAACCAGAACCAGAGUCAGACCGGAUCCACAUUUAACGAACACGUAUGAACAGAAAACCUGGAGUCACUGUCAUCACGGCAACCACUGAUUGUUUACAGUAAACAGGUAGAAACAAACAGAUAAAAGUUCCCCAAAGUUUCAGGAUCUUAGAUUAUUAUUCUAAGAGUCGACAUUUAGGAAAGUUUCUCGUUAUUUUAGGAUUUUAGAUUUCUGUUCUCAGAGUUCCUUAUUUCUGUCAUUGAGUUUCUCAUUUCUAAAUGUUCUCAGUGUUUUGACAAAGUUUCUUGUUAUUUUAAGAAUUUCUCAUUAGUUUCUCAUUAUUUUGAGAGCAUAAGUUUGAAACAAACUAAAUAAAAAAACAACUUUAGAUUCUUUCAUCCUCACAUUCUGAACCUCUGUCUCUGAUCGGCUGGUUCUCUUUUCAGAACCAAAACUUUGAAAAUCUUUAGAUUUAAUCCAGAAAAUGUUUCACAGCUUCAAGACUGAAACUAAAAUCAGAUCAUUAAAAUUGCUGCAGAUGAAAGAAGUCAAACUCAAUUCACGGUUUGGAUUGAAUUCAUCUUUUCUAUCAGCUGAUUUAUUAAUUAGAUUAAAUCGUCAGGAAUUAAUGAGAUCAGAUAUGGACGUCAGAAACUAAAUCUGGUUCCUGAAAAGACUCCAUGGCUCUGCAAAGGUUCUGGGGAGGUUCUAAUGGUUCUGUAAAAGUUCUGAUGGUUCUGUAAAGGUUCUUUAGGGGUUCUUUUAAGGUUGUGGUGGUUCUUUAGUGGUUCUAUAAAGGUUGUGAUGGUUCUGUAAAGGUUCUGAUGUUUCUCUAAUGGUUCUCUAGUGGUUUUUUAGUGGUUCCCUAAACAUUGUGAUGGCUCUGUAAAGGUUCUCUAAUUGUUAUUUAGGGGUUCUAUUUUAGUUCUGAUGAUUCUUUAGUGGUUCUUUGGUGGUUGCUUAAUGGUUCUCUAGUGGUUCUGUGGUGGUUCUUCAGUGGUUGUCUAGUGGUUCUUUGGUAGGUCUUUAGUAGUUCCUUAAUGGUUCUCUAGUAGUUCCUUAGUGGUUCUCUAGAGGGUCUUUAAUGGUUCUUUAGCGAUUCUUUGGUAGUUUAAUGGUGGUUCUCUAGAGGUUCUUUAAUGGUUCUCUAGUGGUUCUCUCGUGGUUCUUUAAUGGUACUCUAGAGAUUGUUUAGUGGUUCUUUAAUGGUUCUCUAGUGGUUCUUUAAUGGUUCUCUAGUGGUUCUUUGGUGGUUCUCUAGAGGUUCUUGGGUGGUUCUUUAAUGGUUCUCUAGUGGUUCUCUGGCAGUUCUUCAAUGGUUCUCUAGUGGUUCUCUAGAGGUUCUUUAAUGGUUCUCUUGUGGUUCUUUAGUGGUUCUCUCGAGGUUCUUUAGAGGUUCUUUAAUGGUUCUCUAGUGGUUCUUUCAUGGUUCCUUAAUAGUUCUUUAAUGGUUCUCUGGUGGUUCUCUAGUGUUUUUUAAUGGUUCUCUAGUGGUUCUUUGGUAACUUUAUGGUGGUUGUCUAGAGGUUCUUUAAUGCUUCUCUGGUGGUUCUUUAAUGGUUCUCUAGUGGUUCUCUGGUGGUUCUGUCUCACCCUGCUGGUUCUCUGCAGAGGUUCCUCCACAGUGUUGACCUUCAGGCUCCUGAUUGGUCAGAGAUUUCUCUGUCUCCACGGUGAGCGUCAUCCCGUCCAUCAGCUCCUCCACCACGUCGCUGACACACAACUACACAAUGACAACAACAACAAGGUGAGCCAAUCAGAGAGCCUCGUCGGUGUGAUGUCAUCCUGAGCGUCCUGCUGACCUUCUGCAGCUGAGGGUCGACUCUCCAGAUCCUCAGAGUCUGGUCUCUGGACCACGUCACCAGCUGGAAGUCUUUAGAACCUGAACAAGAGAUCAAGAAUCCAGAUCAACUGUUUAUCUGUGAUCUCAUUAAAGCUGCACAUGUUCAGGAUCAAAACAUCCCGCUGAGCAGAACGUCUGGUUCUACAUCUACUGAGCGUGUGAUGAUGUCGUAGCUCCACCUUCU